AUAAACGCUGGCGGCGUGCCUAACACAUGCAAGUCGAGCGGCAGCGAGGGGUGCUUGCACCCUGUCGGCGAGCGGCGGACGGCUGAGUAACGCGUGGGAACGUGCCCCAAAGUGAGGAAUAACUGCCCGAAAGGGUAGCUAAUACCGCAUAUUAUCUUCGGAUCAAAGGAUUUAUCCGCUUUGGGAGCGGCUCGCGUCGGAUUAGGUAGUUGGUGAGGUAAUGGCUCACCAAGCCGACGAUCCGUAGCUGGUCUGAGAGGAUGACCAGCCAGACUGGAACUGAGACACGGUCCAGACUCCUACGGGAAGCAGCAGUGAGGAAUCUUCCACAAUGGGCGAAAGCCUGAUGGAGCAACGCCGCGUGCAGGACGAAGGCCUUCGGGUUGUAAACUGCUUUUAUAAGUGAGGAAUAUGACGGUAACUUAUGAAUAAGGAUCGGCUAACUACGUG
This 450-nucleotide ribosomal RNA is filed under the name uncultured bacterium. RNAcentral describes it as "partial 16S ribosomal RNA". It matches the Rfam family "Bacterial small subunit ribosomal RNA", at positions 29 to 507 of the family's 1533-position model. The record is from RNAcentral.